GAUGAACGCUAGCGGCAGGCUUAACACAUGCAAGUCGAGGGGUAUAGUUCUUCGGAAUUAGAGACCGGCGCACGGGUGCGUAACGCGUAUGCAAUCUACCUUUCACAGAGGGAUAGCCCCAGAGAAAUUUGGAUUAAUACCUCAUAGUAUAGCAGUUUCGCAUGAAACCACUAUUAAAGUCACAACGGUGAAAGAUGAGCAUGCGUCCCAUUAGCUAGUUGGUAAGGUAACGGCUUACCAAGGCAACGAUGGGUAAGGGUCCUGAGAGGGAGAUCCCCCACACUGGUACUGAGACACGGACCAGACUCCUACGGGAGGCAGCAGUGAGGAAUAUUGGACAAUGGGCGCAAGCCUGAUCCAGCCAUGCCGCGUGCAGGAUGACGGUCCUAUGGAUUGUAAACUGCUUUUAUACAGGAAGAAACACUACUUCGUGAAGUAGCUUGACGGUACUGUAAGAAUAAGGAUCGGCUAAACUCCGUGCCAGCAGCCGG
RNAcentral lists this ribosomal RNA (491 nucleotides) under uncultured bacterium. RNAcentral's name for it is "bacterial SSU rRNA". It matches the Rfam family "Bacterial small subunit ribosomal RNA", at positions 28 to 518 of the family's 1533-position model. The record is from RNAcentral.